UACGUAGGAUCCGAGCGUUGUCCGGAAUUACUGGGCGUAAAGGGUGCGUAGGCGGCUUGUUAAGUCUCAUGUGAAAUCUCCCGGCCUAACUGGGAGGGGUCAUGGGAUACUGGCAGGCUUGAGGGCAGUAUAGGAGAGCGGAAUUCCCGGAGUAGUGGUGAAAUGCGUAGAUACCGGGAGGAACACCAGUGGCGAAAGCGGCUCUCUGGGCUGUUCCUGACGCUGAGGCACGAAAGCGUGGGGAGCAAACCGG
Molecule: ribosomal RNA, 253 nt
Filed under: uncultured bacterium
Lineage: Bacteria
Description: partial 16S ribosomal RNA
Rfam family: Bacterial small subunit ribosomal RNA
Source: RNAcentral